RNAcentral lists this ribosomal RNA (773 nucleotides) under uncultured Neocallimastigales. Its description in RNAcentral is "partial large subunit ribosomal RNA". It matches the Rfam family "Eukaryotic large subunit ribosomal RNA", at positions 24 to 643 of the family's 3401-position model. The record is from RNAcentral. Lineage: Eukaryota; Fungi; Neocallimastigomycota; Neocallimastigomycetes; Neocallimastigales.
UACGACUACAUAUCAGGCAUAUCAAUAAGCGGAGGAAAAGAAACUAACUAGGAUUCCCUUAGUAACGGCGAGUGAAGCGGGAAGAGCUCAAAUUUGAAAUCUUCAAGGUUUUACCUUGACGAAUUGUAGUUUAAAGAAGUGUUUUCUGUUGGAUGUUUUGGUAAAAGUUCUUUGGAAUAGGACAUCAUAGAGGGUGAGAAUCCCGUAUUUGACCAUUAUUUCCAGCUUUGUGAUACACUUUCAAAGUGUCGGAUUGUUUGGGAAUGCAGUCCAAAAUGGGUGGUAAAUUUCAUCUAAAGCUAAAUAUUGGCGAGAGACCGAUAGCGAACAAGUACCGUGAGGGAAAGAUGAAAAGAACUUUGAAAAGAGAGUUAAACAGUACGUGAAAUUGUCAAAAGGGAAGCGUUUGACACCAGUGUUGUUUCUACGAAAAUCAAUUUAUGAUGGCUUGAUGCUAAGCUUUAAGACUUUAUCCGCUUGUUGUUUAGUUUUCUUGUCUUUGUGAAUGCACUUUUCGUGAACAAGUCAACAUCAAUUUCUUUUGCUGUAAAAGGGUAAGAGGAAGGUGGCUUCGGCUUCGGUUGAAGUGUUUAUAGCCUUUUAUCUCUGCAGUCGGAGAGAUUGAGGUCUGCAGCGUAGACUCUUCGGGGUUAGAUACGUCGGUGCUAAGCUAUAGCUUUUCAUAGACAACUUGUUGACUAUGUUUAGUCAUGUGGCUUACCCGCUGGCGCUAUUUUACCUACGCUUAGGAUGUUGACACACGCGCGUGCUCG